GUCUACGGCCAUACCACCCUGAACGCACCCGAUCUCGUCUGAUCUCGGAAGCUAAGCAGGGUCGGGCCUGGUUAGUACUUGGAAGGAAGAAGGCUUAAUUAAAUCCUCAUAAACCUCCUGGGUGGAUUGUAUUUU
Ribosomal RNA from Ursus americanus (American black bear), 135 nucleotides. The record is from Ensembl. NCBI's taxonomy places the organism in Eukaryota, Metazoa, Chordata, Mammalia, Carnivora, Ursidae.